Molecule: long non-coding RNA, 1973 nt
Filed under: Macaca fascicularis (crab-eating macaque)
Lineage: Eukaryota; Metazoa; Chordata; Mammalia; Primates; Cercopithecidae
Description: lncRNA (ENSMFAG00000058127.1)
Source: RNAcentral
CUGCAAUGCCAGAUUCUCCGGCCAGUUCUGUGAAGUGGUGAAGGGCGUGCCCCUGCCGCUGCCAUUCCCGCUGCUGGAGGUGGCCGUGCCUGCAGCCUGUGCCUGCCUCCUCCUCCUCCUCCUGGGCCUUCUUUCAGGGAUCCUGGCAGCCCGAAAGCGCCGCCAGUCCGAGGGCACCUACAGCCCAAGCCAGCAGGAGGUGGCUGGGGCCCGGCUGGAGAUGGACAGUGUCCUCAAGCUGCCGCCGGAGGAGAGACUCAUCUAGGCCAGCCUGGCUGCCGGCACCAGCACCUGGAGGUCCUGGAUGGUUUCUACCUGGAGACCCAAGGAAGCUGCUGCCACGGCUCGGGACAUUGCUAUGGAAGUGUCCCCUUGGCUGGCAGCCUCUGCCUCUGCCCCAUCGUGGAUGGAGGAUUGAGGGGAGCAACUCAGGGAAACAGAGGCCUAGAGAGGCUGUGGACUUCAUCCCACCCUCGGGGUUGUGCCUCAGCAGGUGUACGGCUGUGCGUGGGAGGGCACAUGUGGGUGCACACAGUGUGCGUAUCUGGAGCAGUGUGUGUCUGAGUGUGUACCUGGGCCCGUGUUAGUCUACAGAUGCUAGUGUGAGUGUGUCCUGACAGGGCUGCAGGGCGUGUCUGCUGCGUUUGCUGUGUGUCUAUGACUGUGAUGGGUGUGGCUGAUCUCAGGAGGCGGUGGCUGCUCCAUGGGGUCGACCAUUACAGUCCUGCGGCAGGGGCGGCCUAAGGCUGCAUGUUCUCCAGGAGGCCAGGCCCGGGUUGCCCAGGCACCAAGGCCAGGGCUCCUGCCUCCUUCCCUGCCUCUGGGGGCUGCUCCUGCCGCGGAGGCAGCUGGGAAGUCGGGAGGCCACUGGCAGAGGCCGAGUGGGCUUCUGGCUCCUAGAACAAACAUCCCUUCAGGCAGGUCUGUCUGCCAGAAGCCAGAGCCAGUCAUGCGAGGGAACCACAGACCCACCCGCCCCCUCAGCCGGAGCAGCCCAAGGGAGCAGAGGAGGGGCUGCCUUGAGCUUCCCACCCUGCUGUGGUCAUUUGUCAAAGGGGGAAGGCACCGCCCGCCUACCUCACAGGGCUGUUGUAAGGAUCGGAGAGGAUGACAGUGGGGAGAGAAUCUGUACGUCGUCAACUCCCAUCUGAUGGGAUAAGGAUCGUCUGCAUGUCCUUCUGGGAUAAGGAUGACAGAGCAACCCUUCUCCUGCCCCAAACGCCCCCAGCUCACCCAACCACCUCUGGGUCUCCAGCUCCGGUCCUCCCUGGCAGCCUGGCGAGCGAGCUCCUUCCCCUGAUGACUGGUUGCCUCUACACAGAUUCGGCGAGAGGACUCGAAGGAAGCCCUCUGGGGUGUCUGCUGAGUGGAGGAGCUCAGUGAACACUGGCGCUGCCUCUGUGUCAGGGCUGGGCCUGCAGAGGCAGACUUGGGGGAGACUCUGCUGCUUGCUCCCAGCCCCUUCCCCGGCAAUGCCCAUCACACUGUGACCUCCGAUCCCUGAAGGGCACUUGCCUAAGGGCCUGGCCUCCUUCCAGCUUCAUGGACCUGGAGAUGUGCCCUUUCGUCCUUCCUGCUUCUCAGGCCAGGAGAUCCGUUUACACUUUUGGGUCGACAGUCAGCUUUUCCUUUUGGUUUCGGCGAGUCCCAGAGGCAUGGGUGUCCAAUCCAAGGUGGAACCACGUGACAACUUGGGGGACUGGGACAUGGGACUGGGAAGUCAGCAGAGGCUGGGAUAGAGAGGGCCCUGAACGCCAGGCUCAGGGGCUUGCCUGGUCCUUAUCCUGGAGGAGGUGGAACCACUUUUCCCUGAACUUUCUCUACAACCCUUGGGAACAGGGGGAGGAGGCAUCCGGUUCCCUUGCCUUAGCCGGUUCCAGGGUCAGUUUACUGAGUUAGGGAUUUGGAAAACCUGUGUCAGCUGUGACUCCUAGGAUAUUUUAUGUGGAACCCCAACAUGUAGAUGAAAGCUG